GCAUUGAUGGUUCACCGGUAGAAUGCUCGCCUUCCAUGCGGGAGACCCGGGUCUGACCCCUGGCCUAUGCA
RNAcentral lists this transfer RNA (71 nucleotides) under Danio rerio (zebrafish). It matches the Rfam family "tRNA". From Rfam's summary of the family: Transfer RNA (tRNA) molecules are approximately 80 nucleotides in length. Their secondary structure includes four short double-helical elements and three loops (D, anti-codon, and T loops). The record is from Rfam by way of RNAcentral. Lineage: Eukaryota; Metazoa; Chordata; Actinopteri; Cypriniformes; Danionidae.